AGUGGCGGACGGGUGAGUAACGCGUGAGAAUCUGCCUUCAGGUCGGGGACAACAGUUGGAAACGACUGCUAAUACCCGAUGUGCAGCAAUGUGAAAGAUUUAUUGCCUGAAGAUGAGCUCGCGUCUGAUUAGCUAGUAGGUGUGGUAAUGGCGCACCUAGGCGACGAUCAGUAACUGGUCUGAGAGGAUGACCAGUCACACUGGGACUGAGACACGGCCCAGACUCCUACGGGAGGCAGCAGUGGGGAAUUUUCCGCAAUGGGCGAAAGCCUGACGGAGCAAUACCGCGUGAGGGACGACGGCUUUUGGGUUGUAAACCUCUUUUCCCUGGGAAGAAGAUCUGACGGUACCAGGGGAAUCAGCAUCGGCUAACUUCGUGCCAGCAGCCGCGGUAAUACGAGGGAUGCAAGCGUUAUCCGGAAUUAUUGGGCGUAAAGCGUCCGCAGGUGGCUCUGUAAGUCUGUCGUUAAAGAAUGGAGCUUAACUCCAUACAGGCGAUGGAAACUACAAGGCUAGAGUUUGGUAGGGGUCACGGGAAUUCUUAGUGUAGCGGUGAAGUGCGUAGAUAUUAAGAAGAACACCAGCGGCGAAAGCGCGUGACUGGGCCAGUACUGACACUCAUGGACGAAAGCUAGGGGAGCGAAAGGGAUUAGAUACCCCUGUAGUCCUAGCCGUAAACGAUGAUAACUAGGUGUUGCUC
This 700-nucleotide ribosomal RNA is filed under the name uncultured bacterium. Its description in RNAcentral is "bacterial SSU rRNA". It matches the Rfam family "Bacterial small subunit ribosomal RNA", at positions 94 to 828 of the family's 1533-position model. The record is from RNAcentral.